This 73-nucleotide transfer RNA is filed under the name Clostridiaceae bacterium AF29-16BH. Its description in RNAcentral is "tRNA-Met". It matches the Rfam family "tRNA". From Rfam's summary of the family: Transfer RNA (tRNA) molecules are approximately 80 nucleotides in length. Their secondary structure includes four short double-helical elements and three loops (D, anti-codon, and T loops). Further hydrogen bonds mediate the characteristic L-shaped molecular structure. tRNAs have two regions of fundamental functional importance: the anti-codon, which is responsible for specific mRNA codon recognition, and the 3' end, to which the tRNAs corresponding amino acid is attached (by aminoacyl-tRNA synthetases). tRNAs cope with the degeneracy of the genetic code in two manners: having more than one tRNA (with a specific anti-codon) for a particular amino acid; and 'wobble' base-pairing, i.e. permitting non-standard base-pairing at the 3rd anti-codon position. The record is from RNAcentral. Lineage: Bacteria; Bacillati; Bacillota; Clostridia; Eubacteriales; Clostridiaceae.
GGAUCCUUAGCUCAGUGAGUAGAGCAUCCGCCUCAUAAGCGGACGGUCCCGGGUUCAAGUCCCGGAGGAUCCA